UGGUGAAUUGGGUUCUAUUGUAAAAAAUCUAUAUUAAGGACAAUUUUGAUUUUUAUUUAUGAGACUUUUAACAAUCUAUUUAUUUAAUUGAUUAUGUAAAACAAAAUAAAAAACUUAAGGUGUCACAUCAUCUUAUCUAUAUUUCUUCUUUAUAUCUAUUUUUAGUAAUGACAAAUAAAAGUAAACAAAUUGUGUAGUAAUUUAAACUA
RNAcentral lists this long non-coding RNA (209 nucleotides) under Capsicum annuum. RNAcentral describes it as "long non-coding RNA (CANN_LNC004696)". Lineage: Eukaryota; Viridiplantae; Streptophyta; Magnoliopsida; Solanales; Solanaceae. The record is from RNAcentral.